This is a long non-coding RNA of Zonotrichia leucophrys gambelii, 3949 nucleotides long. RefSeq lists it as uncharacterized. The record is from RefSeq and is a predicted model, not a curated record. NCBI's taxonomy places the organism in Eukaryota, Metazoa, Chordata, Aves, Passeriformes, Passerellidae. The transcript has 4 exons.
GAGAGCCUGGAAGGAGCCCUGACUAAGAAGCAGUAACAAGCAAAUGAAGUCUGUGCUGUAAAGAACUGCCCCCAAGAAAUAUCGCCCAGAAGGAUGGAGGAACCACGCUCCCCAGACGCAGCAGAACUGUGAAUUGCUGUGAACGUGCCUCUCGCUGAAGUCUUCCACAGGGAAAUGGAAAGCACUUGCCUCCCUCAGAGAGGAUUAUGUGUGAAAAGGAUGGCAAAGGUCAGCAGAUUUCAGAGAUGUGCUGAAAUAUCCAUGAGACCCAAAGUGUAGGACUCCCAGUGCGAGCAGAAGGCUUGGCAUGUAGAAGAGUCUAAGAACAAAGCAGCCAACAUCCUUUCUCCAGAGACAAAACACAUUUUGUCUGUGACAUUCUUAGUCUCCAUCUGCUUGGGAGAGGGAAAGUUUCCCAUAUGGUACUGCAGUGGGCUAGUGAUUCACUCUAUUGACUCACUCCACAAAAUGCACAAUUGAAUGUUAAGUAACUGAAGUCAGCUUUAAUGGAUGCAGCAUAUGUAUACUUCAUGAAUGCAAAAUAUGUAAACUAUUAUUAUGUCACCUCUUUUUGUGCUGGUAGUACUGCAUUGAUUACUGAUUGAUUCCUAAUUGCUUAUUAAUCAGUUAUCAUGUUCUGAAUAACUUGCAUUUUGAAUUAUCAGUUUAGAAUCAAAAUUAGAAGUACAUCUGUUUCUGCCAUGGCAUGUUAUAUUUUACAUUUGUCAUAUUAUUUUCAGUAAUAUCUUGAGUCAAACAUAUUAGAUAAUCAAGAUAUUAGUGGUUUAGCUCUGAUGUGAAAGCUUAUAUUUCUAGAGAAAAGGAUGUCUUAGUUAGUCUUGUUCAUAUAUCACAAAUUCUGUUUUUUUAAAGAACAUUGGUUUUUCAUAGAUCUGUGAAUGUGAGGAUCAUCCAUAAGACAGUUUAUUAUGAGAUAGUCAGAACAAGUUUAAGCAGCUGAUGCCUAUCCUCAUGGACUGCCAGGCUCAUGAUACCACAGUGAUCUUAGUUAAUGAUCUGCAGGAAACUGCAGGACAAGAGAGACUUGAGGGAAAGUAUUCAGUUUCUGACAAGGAUGAGGGGCUGAAAGCUGAUUAGUCAAGUUGCAGGAUCAUUGCAGAGUUGUAACAGUGACAGCAUGUUUUAAGUAACAAAGAAAAAAUCAUGUCCAAGAUUUCUGGAGAAAAGAUUAACCAUGAUGUAUGCAUGUAAAGCCAUGCUAGUGCUUGGCUUUGGGAUGCUUUAGUGUGCUUCCUCAAACAAUGGAAAUGUCUGUCUGAUCCAUCCAAGCUGUGAAGUCUGGUGUCCGUGUGGAAUGGACAUAGGAAGUAGUGAGAUUUUGUAGAUCUUCAGGUUUUCAGUCAUUUUCUCCCUCACUUCCUUGACAGCCGAGCAGUGCUGGGUGUAUGAGACUCCCCUCUGAGGGGUGUUGCAGCGAUUGCCAAGCACUGAGGCCUGUGCCCUUCAUUUGCACCUCUGGGAUGUUCACCAAGGCCUGUCCAUGUCCUCAGCUUGGCAGGAUCCCAACUAACACCAUCCCUCAGGCUAGGCUGGGCAUGCUGGUCCUGCAGAUGUGCUCCAGCUGUAGCUCCAGCUGAGGCAGGAGGGAUCCUGACCAGUUCUGGAGCACCCCAGCAGUCAGGGUAGACACCUGCACUGAAAUAAGUCCAACUAACCAUGCACAGCUUCAGCAGACAAGGUAAACAAAACAACCGGAUUCAAAUUUGGAAAUUUCUCUCCUCCUCUCACUAAAUUAUCUGCAAGUAAUUGAGAAACAAACAUCUGCUUGUGACACCACUGCUUAUAAAAACUUGGCAUACCUCAUCUACUCAGGAAGACAAUUUUUUUUCUUCUUUACAAAGAAGUUACAGAAUUUGCCUGUCCUGUGCAGAGAUGUGCAGAAGGCUCUGUUGUAAACUCUGUAUCAAUGGAAAUCAUGAGAAACUGCUGGUAAAAAGGAGGUGGUUAUUUGGUUGUGAGAGCACUUGGAUUUAGUGGAAGCUUUGCUACACCUUUUUAGUAACUGAUUGCAGAAUUGGGACUGGGUGUAAGAGAAUGGCUUGUUUGAAUGUGAGAUAAAAAUCUGGUAUGGUACAGUCAGUUUCAAGGAUGAUAUCUGGAGUAUUAAGAAAUUGUGUCUUGGGGAAAGUAGGGGAAGGGAGGAACAGUCUACUUUCCUCCAGACUCAAGGACUCAGAGUAAAUAAGGGAAUUUAACAAAAAAUACCAACAUUUAACAAAUUUUAACAAAAAGACAAUUUUUUCCCCUUUUUUAUUAAAUGGGCACUCAUGGCAUCCUGCGCUUAAGUGGAAGUAAGCACCUAAGAUUUGCAGAUGCUCAUGGUUGAAAGGAUAAAAGUUAGAGAAUGUGUAAAAGCUUAAAAAAAGUUUUAUUAAUAAAUUAUACGCUUGGUAUGGAAAUUGGUAUAAAUCAGUCCCUUAUCUCUUAGUAUAAGCAAACAGCAGUGGGUUUCAAGUAAAGGGGUAGCGUAAAAGAGCAGAUAGAGAUGAAUUAAAGAGGUUGGAGACAGAGAAAGGAAGAAAAGCAGUAAGAAAGAUCACCAGUCCUGGUCCCAAUAUUAAUCCAGCUGAUGGAGUUUGUAGGGUACACAAGCUCUUGGGCUUCUUGGGGUUACAUUUUUAUAGAUAAGUUUUCCCCACCCUAGAGAUAAGUUAUCAUGUGCAGUCCAUUCUUCUAUAUCUUUCUGGAAAUGGCUUAGAGGACUACAGGGGUCAUUGGUGCUCUUGGUUAUCCUCUCCUGGGCUGGCUUUUGGUCAAGUGCCUGUUACGACUGAGUCGCAGACUCAGAUUGGCAGGGAAUCUGAGACCUUUAUUCAAAGAAACAAAAAGCUGCUUUUAUACAUUCUUCUAGACACUUCUUAAUUUCUUUAUAUGGUAUUUUUCAGUAAGCAACCUAUCACACACUGCCAUGUCAGUAACUCACUCUGAAUGCCCUUAUGCGUGGUGAUUGCACCAUCCAGGUGUUUGUCAGGCUCCUCUCCAUGGGGUGUCCACCCUGCAGCAUCUCCUGCCUCCAGGGCCACGCAGAGACAAGCCCCUCUGCAUGGCCAUGGUGCUCUGCAGGCACAUCCCAGAGCCUGCAACCCAAUUCCAUCUUGUCUCUCUCCAUGGACAGCAGCCCAGAUCAACUUCUUGACCUCAUUCCUGCACUUGCAUGGGAUUGGGUUAUGCUUAUCUCCAGGAGCCAGAACAAGAAAGUGCUGCCUCACCUCUGCAUGGCCCUUUUUCCAGCCACAUCCUGUCCUUUCUCACAGCAUGUCACUGCCAACAAUCCUUGGUUGGCUCCACAGCUAUCUGGGUAUGGGUGCUUGAGACAGGCACAUUAGUUUCUUCAUCUUCUAGGCUUCUACAGCACUCAAAGUUUUUGGAAGUCUAAAAUGACAUAGCUGUUGGGCUUCAGCCAUGCAAAACAUCUUUUCUAAUCUAUAUAAAAAUUUGAAAUGAAAUUAAAUUUACAACCCUAAAAUUAAAUUUAAUUUAAAACAUGAAGCAACUGUAAUUCCACUAUACCUAGAAUGUAUACACUGUGUAUUUGGAAUCCCCUUGGGCUACUUUUUAAUGACUAUUUACAUGGGGAUGCAUUUUUUCCUGUUCUUCUUGUGGAAAUGUAUUUUCUUAAAUAACUAAAUUAUAAAAUUUGAAACUUCUCUGAUCACAAAGUCAUUUUUUUUACUAGUCACAAAUAUUGUAACUUUCUACCUUCAACUUUUUCCCAUUUUAUAAAUAGUAUCAAUACAUAUAUAUAUACAUAUAUGUACAUAUAUAUAUAUACACUCUCAUGCACGUAUUUAUAUGUAUAAAUACUCUAGAGUGCAAGAAAACCCCAUUUAUAACACAGAUAUACCCAUCAAUCCAAGGAGUAAUUUUCAAUAUGGUUCAUAAACAUACCUAGCAGUGCUUCCUGUGUAAUGAAAAUUAUACAUGGUGC